CAGGUUCCAAGAAUGUUGGGUUAAAGAAUCUCAGAAGCCAAAGCCAUGGCUGUUAAAAGCAUUAAACAGUAGCCUUGGAGGAAGGUUUUGGUGGGGAGGCUUUUGGAAGAUGUGACAAGCGAAAUAGAAAAUGAUACUUAAUUUUGAAGGCUUUGUGUUGG
Humulus lupulus (European hop) is the source of this 161-nucleotide long non-coding RNA. RefSeq lists it as uncharacterized. The transcript has 3 exons. NCBI's taxonomy places the organism in Eukaryota, Viridiplantae, Streptophyta, Magnoliopsida, Rosales, Cannabaceae. The record is from RefSeq and is a predicted model, not a curated record.